RNAcentral lists this ribosomal RNA (497 nucleotides) under uncultured bacterium. RNAcentral describes it as "partial 16S ribosomal RNA". It matches the Rfam family "Bacterial small subunit ribosomal RNA", at positions 28 to 507 of the family's 1533-position model. The record is from RNAcentral.
GAUGAACGCUGGCGGCGUGCCUAAUACAUGCAAGUCGAGCGAACGGACGAGAAGCUUGCUUCUCUGAUGUUAGCGGCGGACGGGUGAGUAACACGUGGAUAACCUACCUAUAAGACUGGGAUAACUUCGGGAAACCGGAGCUAAUACCGGAUAAUAUUUUGAACCGCAUGGUUCAAAAGUGAAAGACGGUCUUGCUGUCGCUUAUAGAUGGAUCCGCGCUGCAUUAGCUAGUUGGUAAGGUAACGGCUUACCAAGGCAACGAUGCAUAGCCGACCUGAGAGGGUGAUCGGCCACACUGGAACUGAGACACGGUCCAGACGCCUACGGGAGGCAGCAGUAGGGAAUCUUCCGCAAAGGGCGAAAGCCUGACGGAGCAACGCCGCGUGAGUGAUGAAGGUCUUCGGAUCGUAAAACUCUGUUAUUAGGGAAGAACAUAUGUGUAAGUAACUGUGCACAUCUUGACGGUACCUAAUCAGAAAGCCACGGCUAACUACGUG